UACGAAGGGUGCAAGCGUUAAUCGGAAUUAUUGGGCGUAAAGGGUGCGUAGGCGGUUUGGUAAGUCUGAUGUGAAAUCUAUGGGCUCAACUCAUAGUCUGCAUCGGAAACUGCCGGGCUUGAGUAUGGGAGAGGUGAGUGGAAUUCCUGGUGUAGCGGUGAAAUGCGUAGAUAUCAGGAGGAACACCUGUGGCGAAAGCGGCUCACUGGACCAGCACUGACACUGAGGCACGAAAGCGUGGGGAGCAAACAGG
RNAcentral lists this ribosomal RNA (253 nucleotides) under uncultured bacterium. Its description in RNAcentral is "partial 16S ribosomal RNA". It matches the Rfam family "Bacterial small subunit ribosomal RNA", at positions 524 to 776 of the family's 1533-position model. The record is from RNAcentral.